RNAcentral lists this transfer RNA (72 nucleotides) under Ilybius fraterculus. Its description in RNAcentral is "transfer RNA-Leu". The record is from RNAcentral. Lineage: Eukaryota; Metazoa; Arthropoda; Insecta; Coleoptera; Dytiscidae.
UAUUAAUUGCUUUGGCAGAAAAGGUGUAGUGAAUUUAGAAUUCAUAUAUGUAAUUAAUUAUUACAAGUAAUA